CUCGUAGGCGGUUUGUCGCGUCUGCUGUGAAAACCCGAGGCUCAACCUCGGGCCUGCAGUAGGUACGGGCAGACUAGAGUGCGGUAGGGGAGAUUGGAAUUCCUGGUGUAGCGGUGGAAUGCGCAGAUAUCAGGAGGAACACCAAUGGCGAAGGCAGAUCUCUGGGCCGUAACUGACGCUGAGGAGCGAAAGCAUGGGGAGCGAACA
RNAcentral lists this ribosomal RNA (207 nucleotides) under uncultured bacterium. RNAcentral's name for it is "partial 16S ribosomal RNA". It matches the Rfam family "Bacterial small subunit ribosomal RNA", at positions 568 to 774 of the family's 1533-position model. The record is from RNAcentral.